This 492-nucleotide ribosomal RNA is filed under the name uncultured bacterium. RNAcentral's name for it is "partial 16S ribosomal RNA". It matches the Rfam family "Bacterial small subunit ribosomal RNA", at positions 29 to 507 of the family's 1533-position model. The record is from RNAcentral.
AGUGAACGCUGGCGGUAGGCCUAACACAUGCAAGUCGAACGGCAGCACAGUAAGAGCUUGCUCUUACGGGUGGCGAGUGGCGGACGGGUGAGGAAUACAUCGGAAUCUACUUUUUCGUGGGGGAUAACGUAGGGAAACUUACGCUAAUACCGCAUACGACCUACGGGUGAAAGCAGGGGAUCUUCGGACCUUGCGCGAUUGAAUGAGCCGAUGUCGGAUUAGCUAGUUGGCGGGGUAAAGGCCCACCAAGGCGACGAUCCGUAGCUGGUCUGAGAGGAUGAUCAGCCACACUGGAACUGAGACACGGUCCAGACUCCUACGGGAGGCAGCAGCGGGGAAUAUUGGACAAUGGGCGCAAGCCUGAUCCAGCCAUACCGCGUGGGUGAAGAAGGCCUUCGGGUUGUAAGGCCCUUUUGCUGGGAAAGAAAAGCAGCAGGUUAAUACCCCGCUGUUCUGACGGUACCCAAAGAAUAAGCACCGGCUAACUUCGUG